RNAcentral lists this long non-coding RNA (333 nucleotides) under Mytilus galloprovincialis (Mediterranean mussel). The record is from RNAcentral. Lineage: Eukaryota; Metazoa; Mollusca; Bivalvia; Mytilida; Mytilidae.
GGUUAGUGUUUUAUUUUCACAUGAAAGCAUACAUUACUAAAGAUAAGUAAAAUGAAUAUAAAUAAGAAAUUAAACAUGUUUUUAAAAAGAAUUGAGUAUGUGUCUGCUGAGUUAGCCUGUGAAAAGUCAGGAGCCUGUAAUUCAGUGAUUGUCGUUUGUUUAUGUGUUACAUAUUUGUUUUUAAAUAAAUAAGGCCGUUAUAUCCACCUAUGAUUUGUAGUUGCAUAGUGCAACUACAAAUCAUUGUUCUGGCCUUUCAUUGAUACGGUGUAGCAAUGUUUAGAGUUUUUUGGAAAUGUGUUGAUUAAAGGGAAUCUUUCAGCAGAGACCACG